RNAcentral lists this ribosomal RNA (408 nucleotides) under uncultured bacterium. Its description in RNAcentral is "bacterial SSU rRNA". It matches the Rfam family "Bacterial small subunit ribosomal RNA", at positions 354 to 776 of the family's 1533-position model. The record is from RNAcentral.
GUGGGGAAUAUUGGGCAAUGGGCGCAAGCCUGACCCAGCAACGCCGCGUGAAGGAAGAAGGCUUUCGGGUUGUAAACUUCUUUUCUUGGGGACGAAGAAAGUGACGGUACCCAAGGAAUAAGCCACGGCUAACUACGUGCCAGCAGCCGCGGUAAUACGUAGGUGGCAAGCGUUAUCCGGAUUUACUGGGUGUAAAGGGCGUGUAGGCGGGAGCGCAAGUCAGAUGUGAAAACUCAGGGCUCAACCCUGAGCCUGCAUUUGAAACUGUGUUUCUUGAGUGCUGGAGAGGCAAUCGGAAUUCCGUGUGUAGCGGUGAAAUGCGUAGAUAUACGGAGGAACACCAGUGGCGAAGGCGGCUUGCUGGACGACAACUGACGCUGAGGCUCGAAAGCGUGGGGAGCAAACAGG